This 381-nucleotide unclassified non-coding RNA is filed under the name Hevea brasiliensis (rubber tree). Lineage: Eukaryota; Viridiplantae; Streptophyta; Magnoliopsida; Malpighiales; Euphorbiaceae. The record is from RNAcentral.
CUAUCCAUCCAUCCAUCCAUCCAUCCAUCCAUCCAUCCAUCCGUUAGAAAAUUGGAAUCAACACAAUAUGUAAAUCACCAUAUCUAUGAGUACUUUUGCAUUUUUUUACUGACGAGAUAAAAAGCAUCAUGUAGUCUAUCAAUGUGUCUCUAUAAAAGGCUUAGAAUAAAUGUUAAUAUGUUAAAAACAUAAUAAACACCACAUAACUUAUCAGCCUUGUGGAGCUACAUCCAACUUCCAUAACUUCAGAAAAUUAUAUGCACAUGUAUAAUAGGACGUUGCAGGAAAAUUUUGUUGCUUGCUAAAGUAAUAUUACAAAACUGCGUGAUUCAAGAAGACUAAAUAUACAAGAAUUCCAAAAUAUGAAUAUUCUAAACUAGG